GCUACAGUUCUGGAGGGAAACUUUGAGUCUCUACCUUUCCAAGAGGGGCCGGACUCUUCAUUCCUGCCUUGUGUGACCCAGGGAUGGAGGACUGCCCUUCCAACUCAUUAUCCUCUUUGCCCAGGAGCUGUGUGAGACAGAUGGUCAUGCAGUGGAGAAUAAAUGAGGACCCUUUAAUCCAGCUGGUGCUUUGCUUGUCUCACUUGUGGUGUUGGAUGCAUUCGGCUAACAGUGGGAAUCCGGGGGACUGUGUGGUAAGGAUGAGUGGGGUCAUAUACUGGGCUGCCUUUUUUCCCAGUACACAGUAGAAUGGCCAUGCAAGUUGUUAAAAUACUAAAAUAUUUUUGCACUCGUUGAUAAAUAGCAACUGGUUAGGGCCCCUUAACACUAAGCUGUUCCCGUCACCCACCACCCUGGAUUCCUGUGUCCCAGCUCUGGAGUAUUUGGACCUGCCUUCCCACAUCCAGUUGGAUUGAUACCUGGUACAAAAAGAAGCCUUAGGACUUCUGUUACUGCUUUUUAAAACCACUUGUAUCUAUUUGUUUUUACCCUGUAUGCAACCCAACUAAUUAUUAUAUAUGUUAGAAUAGUAGUUGUUUUAGUCCACUUUGCAUUCCCAUAAAGGAAUACCCGAGACUGGGUAAUUUAUAAAGAAAAGAGGUUUGUUUGGUUCACAGUUCUGGAGGCUGUACAAGCAUGGCAUCAACAUCUGCU
RNAcentral lists this long non-coding RNA (714 nucleotides) under Papio anubis (olive baboon). Its description in RNAcentral is "lncRNA (ENSPANG00000037344.1)". The record is from RNAcentral. Lineage: Eukaryota; Metazoa; Chordata; Mammalia; Primates; Cercopithecidae.